This 1061-nucleotide long non-coding RNA is filed under the name Homo sapiens (human). RNAcentral's name for it is "HSALNT0198287". The record is from RNAcentral. Lineage: Eukaryota; Metazoa; Chordata; Mammalia; Primates; Hominidae.
CCCCGCGGUCCUAGCGCCCGGCUUACUGCCCGCGCCGCUCUGCGGCAGGCGAGGUGCGGCGCGCCAGAGCGCAGGACUUCCUGGGAGGCAGUCGAGGAGCCCUGGCUUUACAAAGAAAAGCAAAUGAAAGAUGCACUGCGAGAGGCGGGAGGAAGAAACCCUGAGUCUCCCGAGACUCAAAGUUCUCCUGCAGAAUAGAAGCCGAAUAUGACUGAGUUGAGAGAGUCGGAGGGAAGGGGAGUUGAUUUAAUGGACUCGGAUGGCCAUGGCAGUUUCUCUUCCAUUCUUCGGCCACACACACAGAAGCGCAAACUAUGUUUCAGGCGGAGUUUCGAUCUUGUCGCCCAGGCUGCAAUGCAAUGCUGCGAUCUCGGCUCACUGCAACCUCCGCCUCUCGGGUUCAAGCAAUUAUCCUGCCUCAGCCUCCUGAGUAGCUGGGACUACAGGCGCCCACCACCAUGCCCGGCUAAUUUUUGUAUUUUUAGUAGAGACGGGGUUUCACCAUAUUAGCCAGGCUGGUCUCGAACUCCUGACCUCAGAUGAUCUGCUCCCCUCGGCCUAGCUACAUCUUAUUAAUAAGCAUAAACUAAUUUUAUCUCAACAGUAAAGAUAUUUUCAAUAGGAAAAAAAGAAAAAAAAUGAUGUAUAUGAAGACUAAUAACGAGGGGGAAAGCAGGGAAAAAACAUGUGAUCAACAUCUACAAUCAGUUGACUUUGCAUCAUUAGUUCUGAGGUUGAGACACCCUAGUCUACACCAUCCUUGUAGGAGUUCGGCCACAAAUUACAGUCUCGUUCCUCAAAAAACAGGUCUGCAAAGAAAAUAAACUUGUUGGCCAGGCGCAGUGGCUCACACCUGUGAUCCCAGCACUUUGGGAGGCUGAGGCGGGCAGAUCACGAGGUCGGGAAAUCGAGACCAUCCUGACUAGCUGCAGAAUGGCGUGAACCCGGGAGGCGGAGCUUGCAGUGGGCCGAGAUGGCGCCACUGGACUCCCGCCUGGGUGACAGAGCGAGACUCUGUCUCAAUAAAAGAAAAAGAAAAUAAACUUGUUAAAUUUUCUUAA